RNAcentral lists this ribosomal RNA (462 nucleotides) under uncultured bacterium. RNAcentral describes it as "partial 16S ribosomal RNA". It matches the Rfam family "Bacterial small subunit ribosomal RNA", at positions 28 to 507 of the family's 1533-position model. The record is from RNAcentral.
GACGAACGCUGGCGGCGUGCUUAACACAUGCAAGUCGAGCGGUAAGGCCUUUCGGGGUACCCGAGCGGCGAACGGGUGAGUAACACGUGGGUGAUCUGCCCUGCACUUCGUGAUAAGCCUGGGAAACUGGGUCUAAUACCGGAUAUGACCUCCUAUCGCAUGGUGGGUGGUGGAAAGAUUUAUCGGUGCAGGAUGGGCCCGCGGCCUAUCAUCUUGUUGUUGGGGUAAUGGCCUACCAAGGCGACGACGGGUAGCCGACCUGAGAGGGUGACCGGCCACCCUGGGCCUGAGAAACGGCCCAGACUCCAACGGGAGGCAGCAGUGGGGAAUAUUGCACAAUGGGCGAAAGCCUGAUGCAGAGACGCCGCGUGAGGGAUGACGGCCUUCGGGUUGUAAACCUCUUUAAGCAGGGACGAAGCGCAAGUGACGGUACCUGCAGAAGAAGCACCGGCUAACUACGUG